UUUAAAUGGCCGCAGUAUACUAACUGUGCAAAGGUAGCAUAAUCAUUAGUCUUUUAAUUGAAGGCUGGUAUGAAUGGUUGGACGAAAUAUUAACUGUUUCAUAAAAAUUUAUAUUAGAAUUUUAUUUUUUAGUUAAAAAGCUAAAAUUUAUUUAAAAGACGAGAAGACCCUAUAAAUCUUUAUAUUUAAUUUAUUAUAAUUAAAUAGAUUAUUCUUAUUAUAAUAAUUAAUAAUAUUUUAUUGGGGUGAUAUUAAAAUUUAAUAAACUUUUAAUUAUUUAAAAAUCAUUAAUUUAUGUUUGAUUGAUCCGUUAAUAACGAUUAAAAAAAUAAGUUACUUUAGGGAUAACAGCGUAAUUUUUUUGGAGAGUUCAUAUUGAUAAAAAAGAUUGCGACCUCGAUGUUGGAUUAAGAUAUAGUUUUAGGUGUAGUCGCUUAAAUUUUAAGUCUGUUCGACUUUUAA
Molecule: ribosomal RNA, 462 nt
Filed under: Cordilura ciliata
Lineage: Eukaryota; Metazoa; Arthropoda; Insecta; Diptera; Scathophagidae
Description: partial 16S ribosomal RNA
Rfam family: Bacterial large subunit ribosomal RNA
Source: RNAcentral